This 773-nucleotide small RNA is filed under the name Rattus norvegicus (Norway rat). Its description in RNAcentral is "uncharacterized LOC102556295". The record is from RNAcentral. Lineage: Eukaryota; Metazoa; Chordata; Mammalia; Rodentia; Muridae.
AAUGUCAUAGUUUGGAUUGGAUUCAGGCCAAUUAACCUGUGCUGAGGGACUUGCGCAAGAUUUUUCCAGGCUUAGGAGCUAACCUCGAUCAGAUCUUUCCAGGACACUUAAGGAGAACUUGAAGGUCAAGAGUCUCUGGAAGAGAAGUGUUCAGACUGAGAAGGUGUGCCAGAGGAUCAGUCAGUCCUCAGGUAUACCUUCAAAGCAACUACUUCCUAUUUCUACCUCCUUGAGAAAGGCACAAAAUAUCCCCAUCUACAUCCUGUUUUGGUACCAGACUGAUGAAGAAGAAACUAAAAAGAAAGGACAGUUGGCCAACAGAAAAGUGCCAUGGAAGCGACAGAGCCAUGCUCUAAUAGAUCAAGUACAAGGCAGAUGAAGACUUGCUCCAGAUCCUUCACUGUUCAAAGGCUAAGAUGUUCUGAUGACGAGUUUCUAAUAGCUACAGCAGGCAUCCCAAACAGUUUAUUCUCCAGCAGAUUGCAGACGGAUAAAUUCUGACUCUGUCAUGCCACAAUGGUGAAAAAACCAUAGGAGGCAAACAGGACCUGAAUAUUCAGAGGACUGGAUGAAUAACACACACAUGGGGGAAUGGUAAUUAACACCCAUGGACAGAGACCCAGUGAACGACGGAGGAUACAGCAGUGCUUAGAGGGAGAAGAUGUAAGUAGAUAGAAAAAUUUAAAUGACAGAUAUGAAUCUCAUUGUGUUUUCCUGGAGAGCACAGCUGCUUGUGGUUCUGAUGUGUCUUAAGGUUUUACUGCUGUGAACAG